Long non-coding RNA from Camelus dromedarius (Arabian camel), 696 nucleotides. RefSeq lists it as uncharacterized. The transcript has 4 exons. Lineage: Eukaryota; Metazoa; Chordata; Mammalia; Artiodactyla; Camelidae. The record is from RefSeq and is a predicted model, not a curated record.
CAAACGGGCACUUCCAAAUUAGCUCAAAGUAUCCAAAUCCAAAGAAGAGAGAAAACACAGAGUCAAACGCAGAGGUGCUAACUUGUCCCCUGGGACAAAACGAUCUGUGAUGAACACACACAAUCAUUAACCAAGAAUGUGUCAAGAAAUUCCUAAUUGCUUAAGAGUGUCCAGUGCUGCAGAAAAUUGGGAAGGGAGUCCCUCUGAUACCAGGAAGAGGAAACUUAUUCUUGGCAUCUGCAUCCUGAACUUGAAGUGGUACCUUUAAAUUAUAUGCAGAGGCUGGCAACCCACCACGUGUCGAGGUGGCUGAGAAUAACGUUAGUAAUGGUGAUGGAUGUGGACUUGCGGAUUGAAGGGUUUAUGCCUUCGAGGGCGGAGCCAUGCCACCGUCUCCUGACACCUCCCUUCAGCCAGUCUCCGCUGUCCCAUGACAUCCUGUGUCGAUAACGUCACCUUCCCUUCGGGGAAAACGUGACUCUUCGGGAACAGAGGAAGUCAACGGCAUAACCCCUGGAAUCGACCAAACGGGAAAGUUCCUUGUGCAGAUAACUGACCUUGGGGAAGUCGUAUGGCAGCGUCCAGACACCCUGAAGGCUGUGUCCUGGAAAGCCCCGUGUGGGGCCCCCACAGUAAGCAGCACGGCACGUGCUGCUAAAGGUAUUACUCAAGUGCCUUUCGCUGCGUAAGUCCUUU